Molecule: unclassified non-coding RNA, 374 nt
Filed under: Hevea brasiliensis (rubber tree)
Lineage: Eukaryota; Viridiplantae; Streptophyta; Magnoliopsida; Malpighiales; Euphorbiaceae
Source: RNAcentral
GUCACCUGAAGUUCUUGCUUUGGCAUCAAGAGUGGGAGAAGCUAAUCGAACAGGUGGGAGUAGCAGACCAACAGAUCAAAAAAAGUUGUGAUUAACAGAUAGUAUGAAAACUGGAUUGAAUAGAUUAGUGGUUCUUGGAGGUGUAUGGUAUGUGGUCAUUCAGUGUCGUGUAUUAUCAGAUGUUGGCUUUAGGAAGUGUGUGAUAUGAGGGGUGGUUUUAAUUCCUAAAACUUGUAUUGUAUGUGUGGAUUAGUUAGUGUAAUACAUUAGUUUUGCUCUGUUCAUGCUAGGCGGUGCAUUUAUUCUUUGUGCUUAAACAAUGUGGGCAAGAGUCCCAUAUAAUAUAUAUAGUACGUUGUAACAGUUGUUAUUUU